CACCUGUAACUGACGAAAAUGCAGGAAAAGAUACGCCCCUGGCUGCUGUUUUUGAAUUUAGUUAGUAUGCAUAUAAACUGUAGACUCAAAGCUGCUGGAUUGAGUGAUAAUGGCACACAAGUUGUUGUUGGAGAUCGUUCUGGCUAUCUCCAUUUUGUUUACACAUCAAUGGAUCUAAUCUUUCAUUUAUCAACUAUAUAGUGAUGGCCAAUCAGAAUUUUUACAAAUUCAGUUUGCAAAAGCUGAUAAUGGUUGUUGCAGUUUGUUUGUAGUAUCCACUGGUGGAGUCAUUGGAUUUACUAAUAAUGAUAACCAAAUUGACUGAUGCAUUUCAAAGAGGAGGCACUGCUGCUGUCAUACUAGUACUUGUAAUUUUAUCACACAUUUACUGUCUUCUCUCUCUCCCUUGUCUGUCUCUUAAUUUCUCUUUUCUCCCUCUCUCUUUUCCUAUUCCCUUUCCCCUCUUUCUCCUUCUCUUCCAUAGAUUCAAGAAUCUAUAGUACAAGUCUCUGCUAAUAUUUCAACCAAUCAAGAGCUGAUAAACUGUAUAUCAUCUCAUGACCAAUAUGGCUACAUUGUAUCAUCACAAGGAGCAGAGAGUCUGUAUGUAUGGAUGGAGAAAGAGGAGGAGGAGAGGGAGGAGAAUGGGUGGGGCUAUGAACUGAUUGAUAAAGACAAG
Long non-coding RNA from Amphimedon queenslandica, 679 nucleotides. RefSeq lists it as uncharacterized. The record is from RefSeq and is a predicted model, not a curated record. NCBI's taxonomy places the organism in Eukaryota, Metazoa, Porifera, Demospongiae, Haplosclerida, Niphatidae. The transcript is spliced from 7 exons.